GACGAACGCUGGCGGCGUGCUUAACACAUGCAAGUCGAACGGAAAGGCCCUGCUUUUGUGGGGUGCUCGAGUGGCGAACGGGUGAGUAACACGUGAGUAACCUGCCCUUGACUUUGGGAUAACUUCAGGAAACUGGGGCUAAUACCGGAUAGGAGCUCCUGCUGCAUGGUGGGGGUUGGAAAGUUUCGGCGGUUGGGGAUGGACUCGCGGCUUAUCAGCUUGUUGGUGGGGUAGUGGCUUACCAAGGCUUUGACGGGUAGCCGGCCUGAGAGGGUGACCGGCCGCAUUGGGACUGAGAUACGGCCCAGACUCCUACGGGAGGCAGCAGUGGGGAAUAUUGCACAAUGGGCGGAAGCCUGAUGCAGCAACGCCGCGUGCGGGAUGACGGCCUUCGGGUGGUAAACCGCUUUCGCCUGUGACGAAGCGUGAGUGACGGUAAUGGGUAAAGAAGCACCGGCUAACUACGUU
RNAcentral lists this ribosomal RNA (468 nucleotides) under uncultured bacterium. RNAcentral's name for it is "partial 16S ribosomal RNA". It matches the Rfam family "Bacterial small subunit ribosomal RNA", at positions 28 to 507 of the family's 1533-position model. The record is from RNAcentral.